This 381-nucleotide ribosomal RNA is filed under the name uncultured bacterium. Its description in RNAcentral is "bacterial SSU rRNA". It matches the Rfam family "Bacterial small subunit ribosomal RNA", at positions 30 to 417 of the family's 1533-position model. The record is from RNAcentral.
AUUGAACGCUGGCGGCAUGCCUUACACAUGCAAGUCGAACGGUAGAGUAGCAAUACUUGAGAGUGGCGAACGGGUGAGUAAUAUAUCGGAACGUGCCCAGUCGUGGGGGAUAACGUAGCGAAGUUACGCUAAUACCGCAUACGAUCUAAGGAUGAAAGCGGGGGAUCGCAAGACCUCGCGCGAUUGGAGCGGCCGAUAUCAGAUUAGGUAGUUGGUGAGGUAAAGGGCUCACCAAGCCAACGAUCUGUAGCUGGUCUGAGAGGACGACCAGCCACACUGGAACUGAGACACGGUCCAGACUCCUACGGGAGGCAGCAGUGGGGAAUUUUGGACAAUGGACGCAAGUCUGAUCCAGCAAUGCCGCGUGCAGGAUGAAGGCCU